AUAAAUGUAAUUACUAGCGUUUAUAUAAACCAGCAUAUUGGGUUGGUGUUUCUACGAUAGACCUAUCUAUCACUAUAAGUUAGUAUUUAAACUUU
RNAcentral lists this non-coding RNA (95 nucleotides) under Spiroplasma taiwanense. RNAcentral describes it as "Guanine sequence". It matches the Rfam family "Purine riboswitch aptamer". Rfam says of the family: Riboswitches are metabolite binding domains within certain messenger RNAs that serve as precision sensors for their corresponding targets. RNAcentral also lists the same sequence under 1 other name. The record is from RNAcentral. Lineage: Bacteria; Bacillati; Mycoplasmatota; Mollicutes; Entomoplasmatales; Spiroplasmataceae.